Molecule: transfer RNA, 72 nt
Filed under: Deltaproteobacteria bacterium CG11_big_fil_rev_8_21_14_0_20_45_16
Lineage: Bacteria; Deltaproteobacteria
Description: tRNA-Ala
Rfam family: tRNA
About the family: Transfer RNA (tRNA) molecules are approximately 80 nucleotides in length. Their secondary structure includes four short double-helical elements and three loops (D, anti-codon, and T loops).
Source: RNAcentral
GGGCAAGGAGCUCGUUGGGAGAGCAGGGCGUUUGCAACGCUCAGGUUACGGGUUCGAAUCCCGUCUUGUCCA